This 72-nucleotide transfer RNA is filed under the name Bacteroidales bacterium. RNAcentral's name for it is "tRNA-Thr". It matches the Rfam family "tRNA". From Rfam's summary of the family: Transfer RNA (tRNA) molecules are approximately 80 nucleotides in length. The record is from RNAcentral. Lineage: Bacteria; Pseudomonadati; Bacteroidota; Bacteroidia; Bacteroidales.
GCCUUUGUAGCUCAACGGUAGAGCAACUGUUUUGUAAACAGUAGGUUGGGGGUUCAAUUCCCUCCAAAGGCU